AAAGGAGUAGGUCCGGUAAGGACCGAUUUUGGCCUCAAAUUUCAGUUUCAUCUGACGAAAGAUUUUGACCACUUUUUAAACACUUAAGUGUCUAUUUCAUAUGAUGCAAUUAAUUUAUGUGAAAGAUUUUAACUUAUUUAGUCAUUAAAAACGAUCCGAUUCUGGCUCAAAUAUGAGAAAUCUACCAAAUAUGCGAAAAAUGUCACUUUUC
RNAcentral lists this long non-coding RNA (211 nucleotides) under Mytilus galloprovincialis (Mediterranean mussel). The record is from RNAcentral. Lineage: Eukaryota; Metazoa; Mollusca; Bivalvia; Mytilida; Mytilidae.